RNAcentral lists this ribosomal RNA (400 nucleotides) under Aspergillus flavus. RNAcentral's name for it is "eukaryotic LSU rRNA". The stretch from base 91 to 244 matches the Rfam family "5.8S ribosomal RNA". Lineage: Eukaryota; Fungi; Ascomycota; Eurotiomycetes; Eurotiales; Aspergillaceae. The record is from RNAcentral.
GCUCUCAGCCCCGGGCCCGCGCCCGCCGGAAACACCACGAACUCUGUCUGAUCUAGUGAAGUCUGAGUUGAUUGUAUCGCAAUCAGUUAAAACUUUCAACAAUGGAUCUCUUGGUUCCGGCAUCGAUGAAGAACGCAGCGAAAUGCGAUAACUAGUGUGAAUUGCAGAAUUCCGUGAAUCAUCGAGUCUUUGAACGCACAUUGCGCCCCCUGGUAUUCCGGGGGGCAUGCCUGUCCGAGCGUCAUUGCUGCCCAUCAAGCACGGCUUGUGUGUUGGGUCGUCGUCCCCUCUCCGGGGGGGACGGGCCCCAAAGGCAGCGGCGGCACCGCGUCCGAUCCUCGAUCGUAUGGGGCUUUGUCACCCGCUCUGUAGGGGCGGCCGGCGCUUGCCGAACGCAAAU